This is a long non-coding RNA of Struthio camelus australis, 2417 nucleotides long. The record is from Ensembl. NCBI's taxonomy places the organism in Eukaryota, Metazoa, Chordata, Aves, Struthioniformes, Struthionidae.
GUCUUAUCUGCCUGUUUUUCUCCUUUCCCAAGGAGACUGUAAGGACAACUGAACAAUCUGGAAGAUUACGAUAUUACGAGUAUCAAAGGAAUGAAAUGGGUGCCUCUGAAAGCGAGUGGGAUCUCUGUGCCAGCCCGCAGGGUGUAUUAGCCACCCCACCGCUCCAGCCGUACCGAAGAGGUAGAGGGAAAAAUCUCUUUGCUAAANNNNNNNNNNNNNNNNNNNNNNNNNNNNNNNNNNNNUCAGCAGGGAUUUGAGCAGGGGCUGACGCCGACCCAUCAGCCCCCAUUGGGAACAGAGUUGGACCCAGCUCAUCGCAGUAAUUCCCGAGCUUAUUUCCUCAAAUUGUCAGUUUCUUCUACGUCCGCAUCAUUAUUUCAGUUCCUGCAGCCAAGUUUUCAAGCCCUGCAGAUACUCGCUGCCUUUCUCCUUCACCGUAUCAAUGCUUGCUUUCUUUUUUUCAAGAAAUAAUUGCAAUGCAAACAUUUCUUCCCAUUUUAGAGAGAGAGGUUGACGGGCACAAAACAUGCCCCAGCAUUGCAGUAAAACGGGAAGGCGUCCUUCGGCCACUUUUGUAACGCAGUCGUGUAUUAUUUCCACCUCAAGUUGCUUGUCCCUAUGUGCUCGCUAAAUCAUGCAGGAGCCAAUUCUCUAUCGUGGAGCAGCACCCAGAGUUUGGUUCCAGCAAACUGAGAGGGUUUCUCACAAAUUUCCAGUGAUGGUACAGUUAAGAAAAAAAAAAAACCCAAAAGCAAAACCAGCUCUGGGCUUUUUUCAUGCUUUCCAGGUUUCCCAAAAUGCUCCAUCACAGAGGAUGGGACUUGGCGGGGAAAACCCCCGUGAUGGAAAAGAGAGGGAUGUGCUGAAUGGGUGGGCUGGGGAGGCCAAAAUGCCCCCCGCGACGCCUGCAGUGACUUCUCCCGGUGGGCCCGGGCGCGCUUUAUUCCCUUCCUCUCUGCAACAACCUCUCACAUACUUGGAGCCUGUUAUUAUGUCUCCCCUCAGCCUGCUCUUCUCUAGACUAAACAAAUCCAAUCCUUCAGCCCCUUCCGCACAGGCCAAGUUUUCUCGGCUCCUGGUUGAUAUCGCUGCCUUCCCCUGGCCUCUCUCCAGUGGGUCACGCUCGCCGGGCUUCAGAGUCCUUCGUGAGCAGAGCGGAGGGGACGGGAAAGACGAUAAAAAGCAGAAGAAAUCUGUCUGCUUCGGUAAAACAGGGCUGAGGUGGAGAUGCUGGUCAAAACCCCAGAGCACACGCCAGAAGGUAGUGAGUAAGAAGAGGGCAGACGCGUACGACAUUCGCUGCUUCCGGUGCGGCCGGUUCCCUUGUGAUUUGUGCGGUUACGGACCCCCAAAACAGGAGGUCGUGCUCAGACCCGAACUCAAUUCAACGGAAAAGACGACAUCUUCCCUGCCAUGAGUCAGACAAUUCAUCGGGAAUGAAAAACCGCGCAAGCAUUCGCCAGGCCCUUCAAGAGACGGAGAGUUUACAGCGGGCAGUUUUGAGACCUGGGACAAGUCGGUGCAGCGUUGUUACAAGGUAUUUCCCAACCAGCGGGACGACAUGCCAGUUAGCAGGCAGUGACUCGCGGGCGGCCACGUGAGCGGCAAGGGUGGGCACCCCGCGCCUCCGCGACGCCCGGAGGCCAGGCCCCCCGUGCUACCAGGGGCGGAUGCGUGAAAAACGCUCGUUCGCUAAUCGGUGCGGUCCCCUGGCCAGCUCCGGGAUUCGUAGGGGAGAUACGUGGCGUUCAGGGAAGGACAACGUUUCGAGCCGGUCCCAACCGUUAAGCGACGCGCGGUUGUGCUUGACGUGGUGCAAAGCUGCGUGGGACCAGCUCCUCUCUGCAGCCCCGCGCACGAAAACCAGCGCUGUGCAGCGGGCGCCGCCGGUGACUCACCCGCUCCUAGGGCAUUGCUCAGAGGCCGGGAGCGAUCCGUGGUCGGAUGCUCCAGCUCCGGUUUGGCAUCCCUCAAACAAACCCUUCAGCCCCGGAGGCGCAAAGUGGGUUUCUAGGCUGGAUCCACAGCAAGGCUAAGAGACAUUGGGCCACCAGCCUCCCCACGUGGCCCCAGACCACGUGGCAAAGCCCCCGGGAGACACAGGGGUGCAGAGCAGGCACUGGGACGGGUGUUCAGGGGCGACGGGGAGCGUUUAAGUUAAAAAGUGACAGUGCAUUAAUUGCCCUUCCUCCCCCCUGCAAGGGGGAGGGCCUGUUUGCUUAUAAUUAGGUAAUGAGUUAAUUAGAAUUAAUUAGUUAAUGUUUGCAAAGCGCUUUGGAGAUGAAAAGCAUCAGCAUAGCAUGGCUGGGCGCAUCCUCACGCUCUCCUUGGCGGGGUGCGGGACCCUGAUCCGGGCGGCAGCAGGUUCCCUUUAACCCGCGGCGCUCAGGAAAACCUCAAUGCAUCGCCAUCCUCUG